UGUUGUGUUGUGGUGGCUGUGUUGUGGAGUUCUCUAUAUCAAUAUACCGAAUAUACCGUGUGUUGUGGGAGACAGAAAUCAAAGUGGGAGGAGACGGAGUGUGCGGGCUUGAUUAGUCUCUUCCGAUUCUGAAUGUCUUUGUAUUACCUUUACCUCAACUAGUUCAAGUUGAAUUAGGGUACCAACUACCAGCACAUGUUUCAUUUUUCUUUGAAAGGCUAAGCCACCAUGUCCCGACCAAAACUUCACAUCCAGCGGAAUGACCUGUUCUGCAAGAACCUUUGUGGUUUCUUUGGAAACCCGCAAUGGGGCGGGUUCUGCUCCAAGUGUUACAAGGAACUAAUACAGUCAAGAUCUGCUCACCAACCUUCCAAUGCAACCUAUAAUGGAGCUGCAAGUUAUGCCAGCAAGCCGACUUUGCCAGUCACCUCUACUGCUGACCCUACGCCCACUAUGUCAGUUGGUCAAGGCUUCAGUGGCUUUGAGGAGAAGAAAAGAAGUCACUGAAAAUGGG
Long non-coding RNA from Amphibalanus amphitrite, 514 nucleotides. RefSeq lists it as uncharacterized. The transcript has 3 exons. NCBI's taxonomy places the organism in Eukaryota, Metazoa, Arthropoda, Thecostraca, Balanomorpha, Balanidae. The record is from RefSeq and is a predicted model, not a curated record.